RNAcentral lists this ribosomal RNA (468 nucleotides) under uncultured bacterium. RNAcentral's name for it is "partial 16S ribosomal RNA". It matches the Rfam family "Bacterial small subunit ribosomal RNA", at positions 28 to 507 of the family's 1533-position model. The record is from RNAcentral.
GACGAACGCUGGCGGCGUGCUUAACACAUGCAAGUCGAACGAAAAGGCCCUGCUUUUGUGGGGUGCUCGAGUGGCGCACGGGUGAGUAACACGUGAGUAACCUGCCCUUGACUUUGGGAUAACUUCAGGAAACUGGGGCUAAUACCGGAUAUGAGCUCCUGCUGCAUGGUGGGGGUUGGAAAGUUUCGGCGGUUGGGGAUGGACUCGCGGCUUAUCAGCUGGUUUGUGGGGUAGGGGCUUACCAAGGCUUUGACGGGUAGCCGGCCUGAGAGGGUGACCGGCCACAAUGGGACUGAGAGACGGCCCAGACUCCUACGGGAGGCAGCAGUGGGGAAUAUUGCACAAUGGGCGGAAGCCUGAUGAAGCAACGCCGGGUGCGGGAUGCCGGCCUACGGGUUGUAAACCGCUUUCGCCGGUGACGAAGCGUGAGUGACGGUAAUGGGUAAAGAAGCACCGGCUAACUACGUG